GGGAAGAACUGCUGUCACUAAAGUCAGAGGAAGGUGUCUCUGGAGAGGGAAUGGUUUUAAAAAUGCAGUGGGCACAGGAGGUUAGCACUCAGUUUGGAAGAAUAUGAACCAUUAAACUGACAAAUGAGAACAACCUCAGGGCCUAGGAGGGUAGAGGAGAUUUGGAUCCAGCGAGGCUCAUCUGUUCUUAGCUGAAAUGGUCAGAAGCUGAUUUGAAUAUUAUUUCCCCUUCAUGCACCUGUUCCUGGAAAACACAAACAACUUUGAAGUGAGAAUCCAAGCUGAUGAAACUCUCAGCAGCAGUUACUCUGCAGGAUUCCACUUGCUUUGAAAAGGAAAACUAAAUUUAUGCGUAGCUGAAAUUGGAAGUCACCUGAAAAGCCAGCCCCCCAGGAGUGAGUUCCUCUCAGACUUGACAGAUGUCUCACCGCCGUUCAAAUCACCAUAUUCAUCUGGCCCAUCCCACCCUGCUGACCAGAUGCUCUCCACAUGGAACGAAAGGGGGCAACAUCUUUGUGCUUUGUCUUUGAUGUGUGUCUUUCCUGGUUACUUCAAAACUUUGAAGCAUAAAUUAGCCAGAGGAAGAUAGAAGAAAGAACAAUAGCCUCUCCUGAAAUGCCAGAGCAUAGAGUUCUGUAACAUCUAUAUCCAGAGAAUGUCUCUUCCUUCUGCUGCUCUAAAUUUCCUGGGACAUUAUCAUUCAGUCUUACACAGAAAAACAUAUCAUUCAUCUCAGCUGGCAUUUGCAUUAGCUUC
Vombatus ursinus (common wombat) is the source of this 756-nucleotide long non-coding RNA. RefSeq lists it as uncharacterized. Lineage: Eukaryota; Metazoa; Chordata; Mammalia; Diprotodontia; Vombatidae. The record is from RefSeq and is a predicted model, not a curated record. The transcript has 4 exons.